Caenorhabditis elegans is the source of this 150-nucleotide non-coding RNA. Lineage: Eukaryota; Metazoa; Nematoda; Chromadorea; Rhabditida; Rhabditidae. The record is from Ensembl.
ACUGUACAGUUAAUGUAGUGAAGUAUUACUAUAUGGUUACUGUAGCAUAUGGGUACUGUAGUGUAGGUUCUCAGUGGUGCAUGGUUACUGUAGCGUAACUGUAGUGUAAGGUUACUGUAGAGUUAAUGCAGUGUAGGGUUACUAGCACUA